ACAAGCAGCGGAGCGUGUGGUUAAUUCGAUGCAACACGAAGAACCUUACCAGGGCUUGACAUGUUAGAAGUAGGAACCCGAAAGGGGGACGAACCAGGAUCCAAUCUGGAGCUAACACAGGUGCUGCAUGGCUGUCGUCAGCUCGUGCCGUGAGGUGUAUGGUUAAGUCCCACAACGAGCGCAACCCUCGUCGCUAGUUAAUUUCCCUAGCGAGACCGCCUCGCAAAACGAGGAGGAAGGCGGGGAUGGCGUCAAGUCAGCAUGGCCUUUAUACCCUGGGCGACACACACGCUACAAUGGGUGGUACAGUAGGUAGCGAAGGAGCGAUCCGGAGCAAAUCCUUAAAACCAUCCUCAGUACGGAUUGCAGGCUGAAACCCGCCUGCAUGAAGCCGGAGUUGCUAGUAACCGCAUAUCAGCAUGGUGCGGUGAAUACGUUCUCGGGCCUU
This 448-nucleotide ribosomal RNA is filed under the name uncultured Chloroflexota bacterium. RNAcentral's name for it is "bacterial SSU rRNA". It matches the Rfam family "Bacterial small subunit ribosomal RNA", at positions 925 to 1382 of the family's 1533-position model. The record is from RNAcentral. Lineage: Bacteria; Bacillati; Chloroflexota.